This 462-nucleotide ribosomal RNA is filed under the name uncultured bacterium. Its description in RNAcentral is "partial 16S ribosomal RNA". It matches the Rfam family "Bacterial small subunit ribosomal RNA", at positions 28 to 507 of the family's 1533-position model. The record is from RNAcentral.
GACGAACGCUGGCGGCGUGCUUAACACAUGCAAGUCGAGCGGAAAGGCCCUUCGGGGUACUCGAGCGGCGAACGGGUGAGUAACACGUGAGUAACCUGCCCCAGACUUUGGGAUAACCCUCGGAAACGGGGGCUAAUACCGGAUACGACACAGCUUCGCAUGGGGUCUGUGUGGAAAGUUUUUCGGUUUGGGAUGGGCUCGCGGCCUAUCAGCUUGUUGGUGGGGUGAUGGCCUACCAAGGCGACGACGGGUAGCCGGCCUGAGAGGGCGACCGGCCACACUGGGACUGAGACACGGCCCAGACUCCUACGGGAGGCAGCAGUGGGGAAUAUUGCACAAUGGGCGGAAGCCUGAUGCAGCGACGCCGCGUGAGGGAUGACGGCCUUCGGGUUGUAAACCUCUUUCAGCGGGGACGAAGCGUAAGUGACGGUACCUGCAGAAGAAGCGCCGGCCAACUACGUG